Molecule: long non-coding RNA, 872 nt
Filed under: Medicago truncatula (barrel medic)
Lineage: Eukaryota; Viridiplantae; Streptophyta; Magnoliopsida; Fabales; Fabaceae
Description: long non-coding RNA (MTRU_LNC006944)
Source: RNAcentral
GUUCAUACAAUGGUAUAGGUAUCUCGUCCCUAUAUAACGACACACACCAAAGCUGGUUGUGUACACAUGGUAUUACUGUCAUAUAAGAUGUCUUACUUAUCCAUGCUAGCUUUUUUUCUUACAGUAAUCAGUCUCAACAAUAUUACAGGAAAUCCAAAGCAUCAAAUACAUGCGCAACCCAAUAAAGGAGUGAUCGAUUACCAGCCACCCCCUAUUGAUUCAGAAACACCUGUUGGUGAUCUCAAUCCCAGUAUCGGACUGAUCGAUUACCAGCCACCCCCUAUUGAUCCAGAAACACCUGUUGGUGAUCUCAAUCCCAGUAUCGGACUGAUCGAUUACCAGCCACCCCCUGUUGAUCCAGAAACACCUGUUGGUGAUCUCAAUCCCAGUCCACCACACUUUCAUUUUUAUCGACAAUAUCACCAUAGAUCCGAAGGACUUAAUAGGCCUAGAAUUGGCGGCUUGGAAGAUAUACCACACAUAAGACCUAGAAGGCCAGUUCGACCGCCAGCCUAAGAUGUACUCCAAUCCUGCUAAUUAAUGUAGCAGCACUAUCAGCUUAUGGUUUUCUCAUGUUGUCAAGGUUUCAUUUGUUGUAGGCUUAAUUAAGUAGUCCCGUUUGUAUAUUUGGUUUGCGGGUGCUUAUAGUCUCUUUUUAGUAAAAAUUGACUUUGCUCAUAAAAUAAAUCACCCAGCAGCAAAUUAAAUAAAAGGCAGUGGCAGUAUGAACCUUUGAAAUAUUUUACACUUGUUUGUAUAUCCUUAAUAUACGUUUGAAGCUGUAUACGUAGAUUUCGAAUUUAUAUAUGGGGAGUUUUUUCUUGACAAAUUAUAUAUGGGGUGUUUGUUUAACUUAUAUUUCCCCUAGCUUC